This 492-nucleotide ribosomal RNA is filed under the name uncultured bacterium. Its description in RNAcentral is "partial 16S ribosomal RNA". It matches the Rfam family "Bacterial small subunit ribosomal RNA", at positions 29 to 507 of the family's 1533-position model. The record is from RNAcentral.
AGUGAACGCUGGCGGUAGGCCUAACACAUGCAAGUCGAACGGCAGCACAGUAAGAGCUUGCUCUUACGGGUGGCGAGUGGCGGACGGGUGAGGAAUACAUCGGAAUCUACUUUUUCGUGGGGGAUAACGUAGGGAAACUUACGCUAAUACCGCAUACGACCUACGGGUGAAAGCAGGGGAUCUUCGGACCUUGCGCGAUUGAAUGAGCCGAUGUCGGAUUAGCUAGUUGGCGGGGUAAAGGCCCACCAAGGCGACGAUCCGUAGCUGGUCUGAGAGGAUGGUCAGCCACACUGGAACUGAGACACGGUCCAGACUCCUACGGGAGGCAGCAGUGGGGAAUAUGGGACAAUGGGCGCAAGCCUGAUCCAGCCAUACCGCGUGGGUGAAGAAGGCCUUCGGGUUGUAAAGCCCUUUUGUUGGGAAAGAAAAGCAGCAGGUUAAUACCCCGCUGUUCUGACGGUACCCAAAGAAUAAGCACCGGCUAACUUCGUG